RNAcentral lists this ribosomal RNA (253 nucleotides) under uncultured bacterium. Its description in RNAcentral is "partial 16S ribosomal RNA". It matches the Rfam family "Bacterial small subunit ribosomal RNA", at positions 524 to 776 of the family's 1533-position model. The record is from RNAcentral.
UACAGAGGGUGCGAGCGUUAAUCGGAAUUACUGGGCGUAAAGCGCACGUAGGCGGCUUGGUAUGUCGGGUGUGAAAUCCCCGGGCUCAACCUGGGAACUGCAUCCGAAACUGCCUUGCUAGAGUAUGGGAGAGGGAAGUGGAAUUUCCGGUGUAGCGGUGAAAUGCGUAGAUAUCAGGAAGAACACCCGUGGCGAAGGCGGCUCGCUGGAACGCAACUGACGCUGAGACGCGAAAGCGUGGGGAGCAAACAGG